This 528-nucleotide ribosomal RNA is filed under the name uncultured bacterium. RNAcentral describes it as "bacterial SSU rRNA". It matches the Rfam family "Bacterial small subunit ribosomal RNA", at positions 28 to 521 of the family's 1533-position model. The record is from RNAcentral.
GAUGAACGCUGGCGGCGUGCCUAACACAUGCAAGUCGAGCGUGAACCCUGCGAAUGAAACUUCGGUCGAUUUUGCAGGGGGAAAGCGGCAGACGGGUGAGUAACGCGUAGGUAACCUGCCCCAUACUGAGGGAUAGCCUCGGGAAACCGGGAUUAAUACCUCAUAACACCGUAUAUUCGCAUGGAUGUGCGGUCAAAGAUUUAUCGGUAUGGGAUGGGCCUGCGUCUGAUUAGCUGGUUGGUGGGGUAACGGCCUACCAAGGCGACGAUCAGUAGCCGACCUGAGAGGGUGAUCGGCCACAUUGGAACUGAGACACGGUCCAAACUCCUACGGGAGGCAGCAGUGGGGAAUAUUGGGCAAUGGGGGAAACCCUGACCCAGCCAUGCCGCGUGCAGGAUGAAGGCCUUCGGUUGGUAACUAGCUUUUGUUACGGUAACGAAAAGGUACCGUUUACUUAAUAAAGAAGGGACGUCAUGACGGUACCGGUAAGAAUAAGACACCGGCUAACUACGUGCCAGCAGCCGCGGU